Molecule: small nuclear RNA, 195 nt
Organism: Lupinus angustifolius (narrow-leaved blue lupine)
Lineage: Eukaryota; Viridiplantae; Streptophyta; Magnoliopsida; Fabales; Fabaceae
Rfam family: U2 spliceosomal RNA
About the family: U2 is a small nuclear RNA (snRNA) component of the spliceosome (involved in pre-mRNA splicing). Complementary binding between U2 snRNA (in an area lying towards the 5' end but 3' to hairpin I) and the branchpoint sequence (BPS) of the intron results the bulging out of an unpaired adenosine, on the BPS, which initiates a nucleophilic attack at the intronic 5' splice site, thus starting the first of two transesterification reactions that mediate splicing.
Source: Rfam
AUACCUUUCUCGGCCUUUUGGCUAAGAUCAAGUGUAGUAUCUGUUCUUAUCAGUUUAAUAUCUGAUAUGUGGGUCAUUGGCCCACACGAUAUUAAAUUAAUUUUUUAAGGGGAAGGGCCAUUAUAGUAGCUUGCUACUAGGCUUCUUAUGCGUCGCUCUUGUGUUGCACUAAAACAUGGGCCUGGCGCACCCCUC